Molecule: small nucleolar RNA, 91 nt
Organism: Salarias fasciatus (jewelled blenny)
Lineage: Eukaryota; Metazoa; Chordata; Actinopteri; Blenniiformes; Blenniidae
Source: Ensembl
CCUCUCCGCUGAUGACCUGCACUGGGCUCUGAGUCUGGAUGGAGACAGACGUGCGUCUCCGGCCCGACAAGCCGGAGAGUCUGAGGAGAAA